ACGGGGUGCAGCAGGCGCGAAAACUUUACACUGCGCGAAAGCGCGAUAAGGGGACCUCGAGUGCGUGCGCAAUGCGUACGCUUUUCACAUGCCUAAAAAGCAUGUGGAAUAAGAGCCGGGCAAGACCGGUGCCAGCCGCCGCGGUAACACCGGCGGCUCAAGUGGUGGCCGCUAUUAUUGGGCUUAAAGGGUCCGUAGCCGGACCAGUUAGUCCAUUGGGAAAUCUUACGGCUUAACCGUAAGGCUGCCAGUGGAUACUGCUGGUCUUGGGACCGGGAGAGGCAAGAGGUACUUCAGGGGUAGGAGUGAAAUCCUGUAAUCCUUGAGGGACCGCCAGUGGCGAAGGCGUCUUGCUAGAACGGGUCCGACGGUGAGGGACGAAAGCUAGGGGCACGAACCGGAUUAGAUACCCGGGUAGUCCUAGCCGUAAACGAUGCGAGCUAGGUGUCACGUGGAUUGCGAAUCCAUGUGGUGCCGUAGGGAAACCGUGAAGCUCGCCGCCUGGGAAGUACGGCCGCAAGGCUGAAACUUAAAGGAAUUGGCGGGGGAGCAC
This 553-nucleotide ribosomal RNA is filed under the name uncultured archaeon. RNAcentral's name for it is "bacterial SSU rRNA". It matches the Rfam family "Archaeal small subunit ribosomal RNA", at positions 325 to 879 of the family's 1478-position model. The record is from RNAcentral.